GCCUGGCUAGCUCAAUUGGUAGAGCAUGGGACUCUUGAUCUCAGGGUCAUGAGUUCAAGUGCCACAUUGGGCA
This 73-nucleotide transfer RNA is filed under the name Canis lupus familiaris (dog). It matches the Rfam family "tRNA". Rfam says of the family: Transfer RNA (tRNA) molecules are approximately 80 nucleotides in length. Their secondary structure includes four short double-helical elements and three loops (D, anti-codon, and T loops). The record is from Rfam by way of RNAcentral. Lineage: Eukaryota; Metazoa; Chordata; Mammalia; Carnivora; Canidae. RNAcentral also lists the same sequence under 1 other name.